Molecule: ribosomal RNA, 678 nt
Filed under: uncultured Candidatus Poseidoniales archaeon
Lineage: Archaea; Methanobacteriati; Thermoplasmatota; Candidatus Poseidoniia; Candidatus Poseidoniales
Description: bacterial SSU rRNA
Rfam family: Archaeal small subunit ribosomal RNA
Source: RNAcentral
CCCUAUGGGGUGCAGCAGGCGCGAAAACUUGACAAUGCGAGCAAUCGUGAUCAGGGGACUCCAAUUCGGAUCAAUUAAUUUUGAGCUCUGAACCGACUCUAAAUAGGUCGGGUAAUAGGGGCGGGAAAUAUCGGUGCCAGCCGCCGCGGUAAUACCGAAGCCCCAAGUGGUCGUCGUUAUUAUUGGGCCUAAAACGUCCGUAGCCGGUUUGGUACAUUCGUGGGUAAAUCAGACAGCUUAACUGUCUGAAUUCUGCGAGGACGGCCAGACUUGAGACCGGGAGAGGUGUAGGGUACCUGCGGGGUAGGGGUAAAAUCCUGUCAUCCCGUAGGGACCACCUGUUGCGAAGGCGCUACACUAGAACGGAUCUGACGGUCAGGGACGAAGCCUAGGGGCACGAACCGGAUUAGAUACCCGGGUAGUCCUAGGUGUAAACGCUGUGGACUUGGUGUCGGGAGUCUUUCGAGGACUCUCGGUGCCGGAGUGAAGAUGUUAAGUCCACUGCCUGGGGAGUACGGUCGCAAGGCUGAAACUUAAAGGAAUUGGCGGGGGAGCACUGCAACGAGAGGAGCGUGCGGUUUAAUUGGAUUCAACGCCGGAAAACUCACCAAAGCCGACUGUUAUAUGAAGACCAGCGUAACGAGCUUGUCGGAUUUCAGAGAGUGGUGCAUGGGCCAA